Molecule: ribosomal RNA, 253 nt
Filed under: uncultured bacterium
Lineage: Bacteria
Description: partial 16S ribosomal RNA
Rfam family: Bacterial small subunit ribosomal RNA
Source: RNAcentral
UACGUAGGGUGCGAGCGUUAAUCGGAAUUACUGGGCGUAAAGAGUGCGUAGGCGGACAUAAAAGUUAGAUGUGAAAUACCCAAGCUCAACUUGGGAACUGCAUUUAAUACUCUAUGUCUAGAGUUUAUCAGAGGGAAGUAGAACUCCAAGUGUAGUAGUGAAAUGCGUAGAUAUUUGGAAGAAUACCGAUGGCGAAGGCAACUUCCUGGGAUAAAACUGACGCUGAGGUACGAAAGCGUGGGGAGCAAACAGG